RNAcentral lists this ribosomal RNA (394 nucleotides) under uncultured eukaryote. RNAcentral's name for it is "SSU rRNA". It matches the Rfam family "Eukaryotic small subunit ribosomal RNA", at positions 587 to 972 of the family's 1831-position model. The record is from RNAcentral.
AGCUCCAAUAGCGUAUAUUAAAGUUGUUGCAGUUAAAAAGCUCGUAGUUGGAUCUCAGGUGCAGGCGGGCGGUCCGGCUCGCGCCGGUUCACUGCCCGUAUUUCCUGCCCUACCGUCUGUCGGCUCUCUCCCGCGGGUGCUCUUCGCUGAGCGUCCCGGGUGGCCGGCGCGUUUACUUUGAAAAAAUUAGAGUGUUCAAAGCAGGCCUCGGCUGCCUGAAUAAUGGUGCAUGGAAUAAUGGAAUAGGACCUCGGUUCUAUUUUGUUGGUUUUCGGAACUGGAGGUAAUGAUUAACAGGGACAAACGGGGGCAUUCGUAUUGCGGCGUUAGAGGUGAAAUUCUUGGAUCGCCGCAAGACGAGCUACUGCGAAAGCAUUUGUCAAGAAUGUUUUCA